UGGCGGACGGGUGAGUAACGCGUAAGAACUUAGCCCUUUAGACUGGGAUAACAGAGGGAAACUUCUGAUAAUACUGGAUAAGUUAGUAUAUCGCAUGAUAUGCAAAUGAAAGCUACGGCACUAAAGGAGAGCUUUGCGUCAUAUUAGCUAGUUGGUAAGGUAAGAGCUUACCAAGGCGAUGAUAGGUAGCCGGCCUGAGAGGGUGGACGGCCACAAGGGGACUGAGAUACGGCCCUUACUCCUACGGGAGGCAGCAGCC
Molecule: ribosomal RNA, 259 nt
Filed under: uncultured Leptotrichia sp.
Lineage: Bacteria; Fusobacteriati; Fusobacteriota; Fusobacteriia; Fusobacteriales; Leptotrichiaceae
Description: partial 16S ribosomal RNA
Rfam family: Bacterial small subunit ribosomal RNA
Source: RNAcentral